This 468-nucleotide ribosomal RNA is filed under the name uncultured bacterium. RNAcentral's name for it is "partial 16S ribosomal RNA". It matches the Rfam family "Bacterial small subunit ribosomal RNA", at positions 28 to 507 of the family's 1533-position model. The record is from RNAcentral.
GACGAACGCUGGCGGCGUGCUUAACACAUGCAAGUCGAACGGAAAGGCCCUGCUUUUGUGGGGUGCUCGAGUGGCGAACGGGUGAGUAACACGUGAGUAACCUGCCCUUGACUUUGGGAUAACUUCAGGAAACUGGGGCUAAUACCGGAUAGGAGCUCCUGCUGCAUGGUGGGGGUUGGAAAGUUUCGGCGGUUUGGGAUGGACUCGCGGCUUAUCAGCUUGUUGGUGGGGUAGUGGCUUACCAAGGCUUUGACGGGUAGCCGGCCUGAGAGGGUGACCGGCCACAUUGGGACUGAGAUACGGCCCAGACUCCUACGGGAGGCAGCAGUGGGGAAUAUUGCACAAUGGGCGGAAGCCUGAUGCAGCAACGCAGCGUGCGGGAUGACGGCCUUCGGGUUGUAAACCGCUUUCGCCUGUGACGAAGCGUGAGUGACGGUAAUGGGUAAAGAAGCACCGGCUAACUACGUG